GACGAACGCUGGCGGCGUGCUUAACACAUGCAAGUCGAACGGAAAGGCCAUGCUUUUGUGGGGUGCUCGAGUGGCGAACGGGUGAGUAACACGUGAGUAACCUGCCCUUGACUUUGGGAUAACUUCAGGAAACUGGGGCUAAUACCGGAUAGGAGCUCCUGCUGCAUGGUGGGGGUUGGAAAGUUUCGGCGGUUGGGGAUGGACUCGCGGCUUAUCAGCUUGUUGGUGGGGUAGUGGCUUACCAAGGCUUUGACGGGUAGCCGGCCUGAGAGGGUGACCGGCCACAUUGGGACUGAGAUACGGCCCAGACUCCUACGGGUGGCAGCAGUGGGGAAUAUUGCACAAUGGGCGGAAGCCUGAUGCAGCAACGCCGCGUGCGGGAUGACGGCCUUCGGGUUGUAAACCGCUUUCGCCUGUGACGAAGCGUGAGUGACGGUAAUGGGUAAAGAAGCACCGGCUAACUACGUG
This 468-nucleotide ribosomal RNA is filed under the name uncultured bacterium. RNAcentral's name for it is "partial 16S ribosomal RNA". It matches the Rfam family "Bacterial small subunit ribosomal RNA", at positions 28 to 507 of the family's 1533-position model. The record is from RNAcentral.